RNAcentral lists this ribosomal RNA (17 nucleotides) under Yushania dafengdingensis. Its description in RNAcentral is "partial 26S ribosomal RNA". The record is from RNAcentral. Lineage: Eukaryota; Viridiplantae; Streptophyta; Magnoliopsida; Poales; Poaceae.
UCGGACCCCGACCCCAG